UCCAUAUGAGAGAAUUAUACGGUCCGGCCUGCUCACUGAAUUUUUUUUAAGAGCCGCGGUAUUAUGACCGUGCAAAGGUAGCAUAAUCAUUAGUUUUUUAAUUGAAAACUUGUAUGAAUGGUUAGACAAAAGAAAAGCUGUCUCUUGGUUUUAGCUUGAAUUUCACCUUUAAGUGAAAAGGCUUAAAUUUUUUAGGGGGACGAUAAGACCCUAUGAAGCUUUAUAAUAAGUGUAGAUAUUAUUGGUAUAUAAUAUAAAAUUAAAAUAGGCAAAUAUUAUUUUAUUGGGGCGAUAUUAAUAUAAAUAAUUUAACUGUUAAAGCAACAAACACUUAUAAGUGGUAAAAUGAUCCUUUGUUAAAGAUUAAAAGAUUAAGUUACUCUAGGGAUAACAGGGUAAUUUCUUUUGAGAGUCCUUAUUGAAAAAGAAGUUUGCCACCUCGAUGUUGAAUUAAAAUAUCCGGAUGGUGCAGCCGCCAUAAGGGGAAGGUCUGUUCGACCUUUAAAAUUUUACA
This 514-nucleotide ribosomal RNA is filed under the name Epialtus bituberculatus. RNAcentral's name for it is "partial 16S ribosomal RNA". It matches the Rfam family "Bacterial large subunit ribosomal RNA", at positions 1830 to 2600 of the family's 2925-position model. The record is from RNAcentral. Lineage: Eukaryota; Metazoa; Arthropoda; Malacostraca; Decapoda; Epialtidae.